AAGGAGUCGUCUUCGUAUGCGAGUGUUCGGGUGUAAAACCCCUAUGCGUAAUGAAAGUGAACGUAGGUGAGAGCUUCGGCGCAUCAUCGACCGAUCCUGAUGUUCUCGGAUGGAUUUGAGUAAGAGCAUACGGGGCCGGACCCGAAAGAAGGUGAACUAUGCCUGUAUAGGGUGAAGCCAGAGGAAACUCUGGUGGAGGCCCGCAGCGGUUCUGACGUGCAAAUCGAUCGUCAAAUAUGGGCAUGGGGGCGAAAGACUAAUCGAACCUUCUAGUAGCUGGUUUCCGC
Molecule: unclassified non-coding RNA, 287 nt
Filed under: uncultured fungus
Lineage: Eukaryota; Fungi
Description: partial contains 5.8S rRNA, ITS2 and 28S rRNA
Rfam family: Eukaryotic large subunit ribosomal RNA
Source: RNAcentral